Molecule: small nuclear RNA, 128 nt
Filed under: Mustela putorius furo (domestic ferret)
Lineage: Eukaryota; Metazoa; Chordata; Mammalia; Carnivora; Mustelidae
Description: U4 spliceosomal RNA
Rfam family: U4 spliceosomal RNA
About the family: U4 small nuclear RNA (U4 snRNA) is a component of the major U2-dependent spliceosome.
Source: Rfam by way of RNAcentral
AGCUUUGCGCAGUGGCAGUAUCAUAGCCAAUGAGGUUUAUCUCAGGCGCGAUUAUUGCUAAUUGAAAAAAUUAAAUCUGAUAAAGCUCAGAAUAGAGCAAGAGAUAAUUUUUAAAAUAAUUUUUAAUC